RNAcentral lists this ribosomal RNA (468 nucleotides) under uncultured bacterium. RNAcentral's name for it is "partial 16S ribosomal RNA". It matches the Rfam family "Bacterial small subunit ribosomal RNA", at positions 28 to 507 of the family's 1533-position model. The record is from RNAcentral.
GACGAACGCUGGCGGCGUGCUUAACACAUGCAAGUCGAACGGAAAGGCCCUGCUUUUGUGGGGUGCUCGAGUGGCGAACGGGUGAGUAACACGUGAGUAACCUGCCCUUGACUUUGGGAUAACUUCAGGAAACUGGGGCUAAUACCUGAUAGGAGCUCCUGCUGCAUGGUGGGGGUUGGAAAGUUUCGGCGGUUGGGGAUGGACUCGCGGCUUAUCAGCUUGUUGGUGGGGUAGUGGCUUACCAAGGCUUUGACGGGUAGCCGGCCUGAGAGGGUGACCGGCCACAUUGGGACUAAGAUACGGACCAGACUCCUACGGGAGGCAGCAGUGGAGAAUAUUGCACAAUGGGCGGAAGCCUGAUGCAGCAACGCCGCGUGCGGGAUGACGGCCUUCGGGUUGUAAACCGCUUUCGCCUGUGACGAAGCGUGAGUGACGGUAAUGGGUAAAGAAGCACCGGCUAACUACGUG